AGUGAACGCUGGCGGUAGGCCUAACACAUGCAAGUCGAACGGCAGCACAGUAAGAGCUUGCUCUUACGGGUGGCGAGUGGCGGACGGGUGAGGAAUACAUCGGAAUCUACUUUUUCGUGGGGGAUAACGUAGGGAAACUUACGCUAAUACCGCAUACGCCCUACGGGUGAAAGCAGGGGAUCUUCGGACCUUGCGCGAUUGAAUGAGCCGAUGUCGGAUUAGCUAGUUGGCGGGGUAAAGGCCCACCAAGGCGACGAUCCGUAGCUGGUCUGAGAGGAGGAUCGGCCACACGGGAAGUGAGACACGGUCCAGACGCCUACGGGAGGCAGCAGUGGGGAAUAUUGGACAAUGGGCGCAAGCCUGACCCAGCCAGAGCGCGUGGGUGAAGAAGGCCUUGGGGUUGUAAAGCCCUUUUGUUGGGAAAGAAAAGCAGCAGGUUAAUACCCCGCUGUUCUGACGGUACCCAAAGAAUAAGCACCGGCUAACUUCGUG
RNAcentral lists this ribosomal RNA (492 nucleotides) under uncultured bacterium. RNAcentral describes it as "partial 16S ribosomal RNA". It matches the Rfam family "Bacterial small subunit ribosomal RNA", at positions 29 to 507 of the family's 1533-position model. The record is from RNAcentral.